Molecule: ribosomal RNA, 253 nt
Filed under: uncultured bacterium
Lineage: Bacteria
Description: partial 16S ribosomal RNA
Rfam family: Bacterial small subunit ribosomal RNA
Source: RNAcentral
UACGUAGGGUGCAAGCGUUGUCCGGAAUUAUUGGGCGUAAAGAGCUCGUAGGCGGUUUGUCGCGUCUGCUGUGAAAUCCCGAGGCUCAACCUCGAACUUGCGGUGGGUACGGGCAGACUAGAGUGUGGUAGGGGAGACUGGAAUUCCUGGUGUAGCGGUGAAAUGCGCAGAUAUCAGGAGGAACACCGAUGGCGAAGGCAGGUCUCUGGGCCACUACUGACGCUGAGAAGCGAAAGCAUGGGGAGCGAACAGG